This 71-nucleotide transfer RNA is filed under the name Marmota monax (woodchuck). Its description in RNAcentral is "tRNA.Ala". It matches the Rfam family "tRNA". From Rfam's summary of the family: Transfer RNA (tRNA) molecules are approximately 80 nucleotides in length. Their secondary structure includes four short double-helical elements and three loops (D, anti-codon, and T loops). Lineage: Eukaryota; Metazoa; Chordata; Mammalia; Rodentia; Sciuridae. The record is from RNAcentral.
GGGGUUGUGGCUUAGUGGUAGAGCACUCUCCUAGCAUGUGUGAGGCCCUGGGUUUGAUCCUCAGCACCACA